GAGCGAGUGGCGAAACCAGGCAGACGCAGCGGACUUAAAAUCCGCCGCCCCUUAGGGCGUGUGGGUUCGAAUCCCACCUCGCUCACCA
This 88-nucleotide transfer RNA is filed under the name Streptomyces noursei. RNAcentral's name for it is "tRNA-Leu". It matches the Rfam family "tRNA". Rfam says of the family: Transfer RNA (tRNA) molecules are approximately 80 nucleotides in length. Their secondary structure includes four short double-helical elements and three loops (D, anti-codon, and T loops). Lineage: Bacteria; Bacillati; Actinomycetota; Actinomycetes; Kitasatosporales; Streptomycetaceae. The record is from RNAcentral.